Molecule: ribosomal RNA, 435 nt
Filed under: uncultured bacterium
Lineage: Bacteria
Description: bacterial SSU rRNA
Rfam family: Bacterial small subunit ribosomal RNA
Source: RNAcentral
UCAGGCCUAACACAUGCAAGUCGAACGGCAGCACGGACUUCGGUCUGGUGGCGAGUGGCGAACGGGUGAGUAAUGUAUCGGAACGUGCCUAGUAGCGGGGGAUAACUACUCGAAAGAGUAGCUAAUACCGCAUACGCCCUACGGGGGAAAGGGGGGGAUCGCAAGACCUCUCACUAUUAGAGCGGCCGAUAUCGGAUUAGCUAGUUGGUGGGGUAAAGGCUCACCAAGGCGACGAUCCGUAGCUGGUUUGAGAGGACGACCAGCCACGCUGGGACUGAGACACGGCCCAGACUCCUACGGGAGGCAGCAGUGGGGAAUUUUGGACAAUGGGGGCAACCCUGAUCCAGCCAUUCCGCGUGUGCGAUGAAGGCCUUCGGGUUGUAAAGCACUUUGGCAGGAAAGAAAUCGCACGGGUUAAUAACCCGUGUGGAUGAC